RNAcentral lists this unclassified non-coding RNA (2354 nucleotides) under Hevea brasiliensis (rubber tree). The record is from RNAcentral. Lineage: Eukaryota; Viridiplantae; Streptophyta; Magnoliopsida; Malpighiales; Euphorbiaceae.
GUCGGAGAAGAGUCCUUUUGUUGGUAAAACAAAUUAAGAACCGCUUCUCCUCUCUACCGUCUUCCUAUCUAAGCAACCUCUCAGCUCUCUCUCUCUCUCUCCCCCCUGUGUUCUUUCUCUCUUUCUUCAGGCGCCGCACAAUCUUCAAUUUCUUCUCUCUUCAUUUUCCCUGUCUUUCUUAGAUCCAAUGGUCUAAGCUCAGUCAAGGUUACCAUAUACCACUCAUUUUGACUUACCCACAUCACAAAACUUGGAAUUUUCUAUGAAAUCGACUUCAAACUGAGUGGGGCCUUCCUUCAAAUUCUGUAUAUUGCUGGCUGCUCACUUGAAAUUGCAUUUGGAAUCUUGGGUUCUUGUCAUUUUUUUUUUUACUUCAGCCUAUUGAAGUUGGUGCUGAAUUGGGAAUCUAUGCAGAUAUGGUGGUUUUUUUGAUAUUCGGGUGAACCAGUGAAAAUUUGAGGGAUUUUGUGCGUACUGUUACUUAGUUACAGCCAUGGCGACUCUGAGCUGGAGAGACUCCUACAAGGGUAUGUCCUCUGAUAAUAUCAAGGGGUUGGUCUUGGCUUUAUCUUCGAGCUUCUUUAUCGGUGCCAGCUUCAUUGUCAAGAAGAAGGGAUUGAAAAAAGCUGGUGUCUCUGGUAUCAGGGCAGGAAGUGGAGGCUAUUCUUACUUGUAUGAACCACUUUGGUGGGUGGGCAUGAUAACAAUGAUUGUUGGGGAAAUUGCUAAUUUUGCUGCCUAUGCUUUUGCACCUGCUAUAUUGGUCACACCCCUUGGUGCUCUGAGCAUUAUUAUAAGUGCGGUUCUUGCACAUAUUAUUUUGAAUGAGAAGCUACAUAUUUUUGGAAUUCUUGGUUGUGCUCUUUGUGUUGUGGGUUCUACAACAAUUGUUCUGCAUGCUCCUCAAGAACGUGAGAUUGAAUCUGUUAAAGAAGUUUGGGAUCUUGCUACAGAACCUGCAUUUCUUUUCUAUGCAGCUUUGGUCUUAACUGCUGUGUUUAUACUUAUAUUCCACUAUAUCCCUGACUACGGCCAGACACAUAUAAUGGUUUACAUUGGAGUUUGUUCUCUUGUUGGCUCUUUGUCGGUUAUGAGUGUUAAAGCACUUGGAAUUGCUUUGAAGUUGACAUUUUCAGGAAUGAAUCAGCUAAUGUAUCCCCAAACAUGGGCUUUCACUUUAGUUGUAAUUACUUGUGUGCUUACCCAAAUGAAUUAUUUGAACAAGGCACUUGAUACAUUUAACACUGCUGUCGUAUCUCCCAUAUACUACGUUAUGUUCACAUCGCUUACCAUUGUGGCUAGUGUAAUCAUGUUCAAGGUAAAUUUUCUGCCAAUUGACACAAUCAACUUGAUCUGAAUGAUGAGUCACGGUAAAAUUGCCUCAUUCGAGUACAUUCUUGAAAAUAAUCCAGAAAAGUGCUUGAAGGAAAAACAAAAAUCUGCAAAAUGAAAAGAUUGGCCAAAGCAGUUUUGUGAGAUGAUAUAUUUGGCGUUUCACAGUUGGGACCUCCCAAAAGGUUUAGGUGCUUUUGGAUUUCUAAUGUGAACCUUGUUUCAUGGUUGCUAUCACUGGCGCUUAUUCCCGGGCACUAUUAAACUUGUCAUUGAAAUGACUGAUCUAGGCUUUACAGAAUAGAAUGUGGCAAAAAUCCAUGUAGUGCCUUGUGCCUUCUGAAGCUAAGAAUUUUGCAAAAUUUUUCUUUAUGUUUUAGUUUAUGUUGGACCCUGCCAUUUUCAGUUUGAUUUUAUUACGUUUUUGGCUUAUACAGUUUGGUCUACUUAUUAUUAUUAUCAGUAUUAUUAUUAUCAUUUUCUUCUGUGUAACCACAAGCAACUAAUUUUCAAGUUUGGUUUUCUUCUUAGGAUUGGGACAGGCAGAGUCCAACUCAGAUUGUUACAGAAAUGUGUGGGUUUGUGACUAUCCUUUCAGGAACGUUUCUUCUUCACAAGACAAAGGAUAUGGUUGAUGGUAUGGUUGGCAUUAAUUUUUGUCAUCAUCAUAAUUAUUGUUAUUAUUAUUAAUCUGCAAUAUUUCAUUGUUCACCAAGUUAUCACUCUUCAUUUUUUACUAACAUGCAUUUGCAACAUGUUGACUAGGUUUCUGAUUGCUAUAAUCAAAGUGAAAUGCAUGUUAAUGUCAUUCUUAACUUAGAUUCAUGUGUUGAAAUGAGAUUCAGGGUCAAUGUCUCUGCUUGUGCGACUCCCUAAGCACACAGAAGAGGAUGGCUACGGUGCCGAAGGCAUCCCUCUUAGGCGUCAGGAGUCAUUAAGAUCACCAAGAUCACCUCAAAUUUGAUAUAUUCAUCAGCUUGUUCUGCAAUCACUAAAGAAUUGAUAUUUUGGGGGAGAGACUA